Molecule: ribosomal RNA, 489 nt
Filed under: uncultured organism
Description: bacterial SSU rRNA
Rfam family: Bacterial small subunit ribosomal RNA
Source: RNAcentral
AACGAACGCUGGCGGCGCGUUUUAAGCAUGCAAGUCGGACGGUAGUAGUAGCAAUACUAUGAGAGUGGCGAACGGGUGAGUAACACGUAAGUGAUCUGCCCUGGGGAUGGGGAUAGCACAUGGAAACAUGUGGUAAUACCGGAUAACGUAACAAUAUUUAAAGAUGAUGUUAUGAAAAGAGCUACGGCUCUGCCCUGGGAUGAGCUUGCGGCCCAUUAGCUAGUUGGUGAGGUAAAGGCCCACCAAGGCGACGAUGGGUAGCCGGCCUGAGAGGGUGAACGGCCACAUUGGGACUGAGACACGGCCCAGACUCCUACGGGAGGCAGCAGCUAAGAAUCUUCCGCAAUGGGCGAAAGCCUGACGGAGCGACGCCGCGUGAAUGAAGAAGGCAGAGAUGUUGUAAAGUUCUUUUCCUGUUGAAGAAUAAGAUAUAGAGGGAAUGCUAUAUUGAUGACGUUAGACAGGGAAUAAGCCACGGCUAAUUACGUG